ACGUAGGGGGCGAGCGUUGUUCGGAAUUAUUGGGCGUAAAGGGCGUGUAGGCGGUUUGGUAAGCCUGGUGUAAAAGGCGUACGCUUAACGUACGUAGGUCGCUGGGGACUGUCAGACUAGAGUGUAGGAAGGGGAGGUGGAAUUCCAGGUGUAGGGGUGAAAUCUUUUAAUCUCGGGAGGACCACCGAUGGCGAAGGCAAGCAUCUGGAACUACCCUGACGCUGAGGAGCGAAAGCGUGGGGCGCGAACCG
RNAcentral lists this ribosomal RNA (251 nucleotides) under uncultured prokaryote. RNAcentral describes it as "partial 16S rRNA". It matches the Rfam family "Bacterial small subunit ribosomal RNA", at positions 525 to 775 of the family's 1533-position model. The record is from RNAcentral.